GACGAACGCUGGCGGCGUGCCUAAUACAUGCAAGUAGAACGCACAGUUUAUACCGUAGCUUGCUCCACCAUAGACUGUGAGUUGCGAACGGGUGAGUAACGCGUAGGUAACCUGCCUGGUAGCGGGGGAUAACUAUUGGAAACGAUAGCUAAUAUCGCAUAAUAUUAAUUAUUGCAUGAUAAUUAAUUGAAAGGUGCAAUUGCACCACUACCAGAUGGACCUGCGUUGUAUUAGCUAGUAGGUGAGGUAACGGCUCACCCAGGCGAAGAUACAUAGCCGACCUGAGAGGGGUAUCGGCCACACUGGGACUGAGACACGGCCCAGACUCCUACGGGAGGCAGCAGUAGGGAAUCUUCGGCAAUGGACGAAAGUCUGACCGAGCAACGCCGCGUGAGUGAAGAAGGUUUUCGGAUCGUAAAGCUCUGUUGUAAGAGAAGAACGGGUGUGAGAGUGGAAAGUUCACACUGUGACGGUAUCUUACCAGAAAGGGACGGCUAACUACGUG
This 505-nucleotide ribosomal RNA is filed under the name uncultured bacterium. Its description in RNAcentral is "partial 16S ribosomal RNA". It matches the Rfam family "Bacterial small subunit ribosomal RNA", at positions 28 to 507 of the family's 1533-position model. The record is from RNAcentral.